This is a non-coding RNA of Cordylochernes scorpioides, 67 nucleotides long. The record is from the annotation of a GenBank genome assembly. NCBI's taxonomy places the organism in Eukaryota, Metazoa, Arthropoda, Arachnida, Pseudoscorpiones, Chernetidae.
UGCAUCGGCCGGGAAUCGAACCCGGCCCGGGUGGCAGGCGAGCAUUCUACCACUAAGCCACCGAUGC